GUACUUGUACCGACUGGAUGAGCAGCGAACGGGUGAGUAACGCGUGGGGAAUCUGCCUUUGAGCGGGGGACAACAUUUGGAAACGAAUGCUAAUACCGCAUAAAAACUUUAAACACAAGUUUUAAGUUUGAAAGAUGCAAUUGCAUCACUCAAAGAUGAUCCCGCGUUGUAUUAGCUAGUUGGUGAGGUAAAGGCUCACCAAGGCGAUGAUACAUAGCCGACCUGAGAGGGUGAUCGGCCACAUUGGGACUGAGACACGGCCCAAACUCCUACGGGAGGCAGCAGUAGGGAAUCUUCGGCAAUGGACGAAAGUCUGACCGAGCAACGCCGCGUGAGUGAAGAAGGUUUUCGGAUCGUAAAACUCUGUUGGUAGAGAAGAACGUUGGUGAGAGUGGAAAGCUCAUCAAGUGACGGUAACUACCCAGAAAGGGACGGCUAACUACGUGCCAGCAGCCGCGGUAAUACGUAGGUCCCGAGCGUUGUCCGGAUUUAUUGGGCGUAAAGCGAGCGCAGGUGGUUUAUUAAGUCUGGUGUAAAAGGCAGUGGCUCAACCAUUGUAUGCAUUGGAAACUGGUAGACUUGAGUGCAGGAGAGGAGAGUGGAAUUCCAUGGGUUAGC
This 618-nucleotide ribosomal RNA is filed under the name Lactococcus lactis. RNAcentral describes it as "bacterial SSU rRNA". It matches the Rfam family "Bacterial small subunit ribosomal RNA", at positions 76 to 679 of the family's 1533-position model. Lineage: Bacteria; Bacillati; Bacillota; Bacilli; Lactobacillales; Streptococcaceae. The record is from RNAcentral.